CCUACGGGUGGCAGCAGUCGAGAAUCAUUCACAAUGGGGGAAACUCUGAUGCUGCGAUGCCGCGUGGAUGAAUGAAGUUCUUCGGUUGUUAAACUCCUUUCAUGUGGGCGCAGAUGAUGAAGGUAGUACCACAAGAAGAAGAGGCGGCUAACUCGGUGCCAGCAGCCGCGGUAAUACAGAGGUCUCAAGCGUUGGUCGUGAUGACGGGGCGUAAGGGGUGCGGAGGCUGUUUAGUAAGUCGGAAGUGAAAGGCGCGGGCUCAACCCCGGAACGGCACACAAUACUGGGGGACUAGAGUAGUGGAGGGGGAAGCGGAAUUCCUGGUGUAGCAGUGAAAUGCGUAGAUAUUGGGAGGAACACCAGUGGCGAAGGCGGGUUACUGGACAAUAACUGACGCUGAGGCACGAAGGCCAGGGUAGCGAAAGGGAUUAGAUACCCGUGUAGUC
This 446-nucleotide ribosomal RNA is filed under the name uncultured bacterium. RNAcentral's name for it is "partial 16S ribosomal RNA". It matches the Rfam family "Bacterial small subunit ribosomal RNA", at positions 338 to 795 of the family's 1533-position model. The record is from RNAcentral.